GAUUUAUUAACUAUACCAAGUAUAUAUUUUGAAAAUAUAAAAAAGAGUUUUUACUCUAUAAAUCU
Molecule: transfer RNA, 65 nt
Filed under: Amblyomma sp.
Lineage: Eukaryota; Metazoa; Arthropoda; Arachnida; Ixodida; Ixodidae
Description: tRNA-Ser
Source: RNAcentral